RNAcentral lists this ribosomal RNA (509 nucleotides) under uncultured Burkholderia sp. RNAcentral's name for it is "bacterial SSU rRNA". It matches the Rfam family "Bacterial small subunit ribosomal RNA", at positions 149 to 653 of the family's 1533-position model. The record is from RNAcentral. Lineage: Bacteria; Pseudomonadati; Pseudomonadota; Betaproteobacteria; Burkholderiales; Burkholderiaceae.
CUGCGAAAGCCGGAUUAAUACCGCAUACGAUCUACGGAUGAAAGCGGGGGACCUUCGGGCCUCGCGCUAUAGGGUUGGCCGAUGGCUGAUUAGCUAGUUGGUGGGGUAAAGGCCUACCAAGGCGACGAUCAGUAGCUGGUCUGAGAGGACGACCAGCCACACUGGGACUGAGACACGGCCCAGACUCCUACGGGAGGCAGCAGUGGGGAAUUUUGGACAAUGGGCGAAAGCCUGAUCCAGCAAUGCCGCGUGUGUGAAGAAGGCCUUCGGGUUGUAAAGCACUUUUGUCCGGAAAGAAAUCCUUGGUUCUAAUAUAGCCGGGGGAUGACGGUACCGGAAGAAUAAGCACCGGCUAACUACGUGCCAGCAGCCGCGGUAAUACGUAGGGUGCGAGCGUUAAUCGGAAUUACUGGGCGUAAAGCGUGCGCAGGCGGUUUGCUAAGACCGAUGUGAAAUCCCCGGGCUCAACCUGGGAACUGCAUUGGUGACUGGCAAGCUAGAGUAUGGCA